UCAUGCACUCGCCAGAGAAAUCAAAAGGCCAGAGCAGAGAAAUCAAGAGGCCAGAGCAGAGAAAUCAAAAGCCCAGAUAGUAUCUAAUAAAGAAUAAUUUUUUUAUACUGAGAUCUUUAUUUUUUUCAUUUUCAUAGAUCUAAUAAUAUCUACACUAAUGGGUUCAUAAAGAAUAAUUUUUUUAUACUGAGAUCUUUAUUUUUUUUUUCGCUUAUUAGUUUUUGAUUUUUUACAUUUUCA
RNAcentral lists this long non-coding RNA (240 nucleotides) under Salvia miltiorrhiza (redroot sage). RNAcentral's name for it is "long non-coding RNA (SMIL_LNC014114)". Lineage: Eukaryota; Viridiplantae; Streptophyta; Magnoliopsida; Lamiales; Lamiaceae. The record is from RNAcentral.